GAUGAACGCUGGCGGCGUGCCUAAUACAUGCAAGUCGAGCGAACGGACGAGAAGCUUGCUUUUCUGAUGUUAGCGGCGGACGGGUGAGUAACACGUGGAUAACCUACCUAUAAGACUGGGAUAACUUCGGGAAACCGGAGCUAAUAACGGAUAAUAUUUUGAACCGCAUGGUUCAAAAGUGAAAGACGGUCUUGCUGUCACUUAUAGAUGGAUCCGCGCUGCAUUAGCUAGUUGGUAAGGUAACGGCUUACCAAGGCAACGAUGCAUAGCCGACCUGAGAGGGUGAUCGGCCACACUGGAACUGAGACACGGUCCAGACUCCUACGGGAGGCAGCAGUAGGGAAUCUUGCGCAAUGGGCGAAAGCCUGAUGGAGCAAUGCCGCGUGAGUGAUGAAGGUCUUCGGAUCGUAAAGCUCUGUUAUUAGGAAAGAACAUAUGUGUAUGUAUCUGUGGACAUCUUGACGGUACCUAAUCAGAAAGCCACGGCUAACUACGUG
RNAcentral lists this ribosomal RNA (497 nucleotides) under uncultured bacterium. RNAcentral describes it as "partial 16S ribosomal RNA". It matches the Rfam family "Bacterial small subunit ribosomal RNA", at positions 28 to 507 of the family's 1533-position model. The record is from RNAcentral.